GGGGAUGACAGGCAUCGACGGGAAAAUUGCACUUUUAUAAAUGGUGAGAGCGGACUUGUCCGUUAAACAGGAAAAAACAACUGAUAAAGAUAAUUUAUCAGCGGAGGAAGCUUACUUCUUGGCUUAUGGCAGGCGCGAGCUUGCUUUUGUUCAAACUGUAAACUAAAUCCCUCUCUUUGGGUUUUCUUCGAUUCAACCUAAAGAGGGAAAACCAAUCGGAGUAGGACGAAGAAAAUUUUUCGGUUAUAUUCGGAGUCGACAAAACAUAACCGGCGGUUUAAUGAGGUUUGUUUAUUUUCCAAUUUAAACACGAGACAAAAAUAAUCUAUCUCUCACUAAACGUUUUUAGAGGUGCUUUCUCGGACCCGGGUUCAACUCCCGGCAUCUCCACAC
Molecule: transfer-messenger RNA, 393 nt
Filed under: Patescibacteria group
Lineage: Bacteria
Also listed under: 6 other names
Description: GCA-002780795 sp002780795 Standard tmRNA
Rfam family: transfer-messenger RNA
About the family: Bacterial tmRNA, also known as 10Sa RNA or SsrA, is named for its dual tRNA and mRNA-like properties. Its role is to liberate the mRNA from a stalled ribosome. To accomplish this part of the tmRNA is used as a reading frame that ends in a translation stop signal.
Source: RNAcentral